This 1130-nucleotide long non-coding RNA is filed under the name Anser brachyrhynchus (Pink-footed goose). RNAcentral's name for it is "lncRNA (ENSABRG00000015720.1)". The record is from RNAcentral. Lineage: Eukaryota; Metazoa; Chordata; Aves; Anseriformes; Anatidae.
AUGCCAGAGCUGUGGCACACAGUUUUGCCUCUGCUGAGAGAGUGUUAUCAAAACCAUCAAUGCCGUUGUGUUACUUACCAAGCCCUGCUUACCUGUGCACUCCUGUGUUACUCACACACCUGUGGCAGGUCCAGCGGCAGCAGGUCAGGGAGCAGACACCUUGCAUUUCACAGCAGAAGUGUGGACAGCACUGGUGUUGGCCUGCCUCUAAUGAGUCAGCUGAACUGCUCGAAAGGAGAGAGAUUACAUACAACAGGAUAAUGCAUGAUCUCGGGCAGUAACUCUGGGGACUUCCUUUUAGUGUGUGCUGCAAGAGCAGCUGGUGAUGCACGUGAACUGUUGGGGCAGAAAGCAGGAGUUUUCUCAGUCUCUGAUUUGCUGUUUGUCACAUGGCAGUCAGCGGAUCCCAUUUGCCUUACGACGUCCAAGUGAAAUUCUCCUUGAGUGGAGUCUAAUCUGUGCUUGGUUAUAAUAACCUGUGCAAACACCGGCUGAAUUUGACACUACAAAAAAGAGCCUCCCACGUGCUGUUAAGAGUUGCAGUUGUUGAAAACAAACACUGGAAGCAGUUUUUGAAUGUCCAGAGAUGCAUCAUGCAAAUUUUAAAAGCCCUUCUUCAGUAAAAUGUAGCAUAAUCACCGACUAUAGCAAUGCUGUGCAAAAAUGCAGAACAUUUCUCUGAAGAAUCGGAUCUUCUGGUCUGAACAGAGACUCUCCGGUGCACUUGUUUUCCAGCAUUUUGGGGAUUUUGCCUGAGAGCAGCACAAGGUCUGUUUAACUUCAUUUCCUUCAGGCAGAGAUUUAAACAAUAUUAGGAGCAGACUGCCCUGGCCUGGAGGAAACUCACAGUGUUGUUUUUAACACCGCCUGCCAAAGCCCGAGAUGCUCCAACUUUACCCCAACAGGGAGACAGAGGAAGGAGAAGGAGCUGUAAUGGCAGAUGGCAACCCACGAGGAGGCGAGAGCUACACGCUGCACUUUGGCAACUGGUGACAAGGACAACUUUACAGUAACCUAGUUUGCCUAUAAAGGGAUGAGGCUUAUUUGCCACUUUUCCCCCCCCCCCAUCUUCAGUCAGAUCAUUGCUUAAAAAAAAUAAAAAAAAAUUAAUUGACUUACCUCUGGGAAGC